Molecule: ribosomal RNA, 423 nt
Filed under: uncultured bacterium
Lineage: Bacteria
Description: bacterial SSU rRNA
Rfam family: Bacterial small subunit ribosomal RNA
Source: RNAcentral
GAGAAUUUUUCUCAAUGGGGGAAACCCUGAAGGAGCGACGCCGCGUGGAGGAUGAAGGUCUUCGGAUAGUAAACUCCUGUCAUUUGAGAACAAGUGUUGUCCCAUAACUACGGGCAACUUGAUAGUAUCAGAAGAGGAAGAGGCGGCUAACUCUGUGCCAGCAGCCGCGGUAAUACAGAGGCCUCAAGCGUUGUUCGGAUUCAUUGGGCGUAAAGGGUGCGUAGGCGGUUCCGUAAGUCGGAUGUGAAAUCUUGGGGCUCAACCUCAAAACUGCAUUCGAUACUGCGGGGCUAGAGGACUGGAGAGGAGAGUGGAAUUCACGGUGUAGCAGUGAAAUGCGUAGAUAUCGUGAGGAAGACCAGUGGCGAAGGCGGAUCUCUGGACAGUUCCUGACGCUGAUGCACGAAGGCUAGGGGAGCAAAC